This 417-nucleotide ribosomal RNA is filed under the name uncultured Xanthomonas sp. RNAcentral describes it as "bacterial SSU rRNA". It matches the Rfam family "Bacterial small subunit ribosomal RNA", at positions 377 to 783 of the family's 1533-position model. Lineage: Bacteria; Pseudomonadati; Pseudomonadota; Gammaproteobacteria; Lysobacterales; Lysobacteraceae. The record is from RNAcentral.
GACAUGGCGAGCUGUCAGCAUACGCGUGGGUGAAGAAGGCUUCGGGUUGUAAAGCCCUUUUGUUGGGAAAGAAAAGCAUUCGGUUAAUACCCGGGUGUUCUGACGGUACCCAAAGAAUAAGCACCGGCUAAUUCGUGCCAGCAGCCGCGGUAAUACGAAGGGUGCAAGCGUUAUUCGGAAUUACUGGGCGUAACAGCGUGCGCUCAGGUGGUGGUUUAAGUCCGUUGUGAAAGCCCUGGGCUCAACCUGGGAAUUGCAGUGGAUACUGGGUCACUAGAGUGUGGUAGAGGAUAGUGGAAUUUCCGGUGUAGCAGUGAAAUGCGUAGAGAUCGGAAGGAACACCUGUGGCGAAGGCGACUAUCUGGGCCAACACUGRCACUGACGGCACGAAAGCGUGGGGAGCAAACAGGAUUAGAU